Molecule: ribosomal RNA, 454 nt
Filed under: uncultured bacterium
Lineage: Bacteria
Description: partial 16S ribosomal RNA
Rfam family: Bacterial small subunit ribosomal RNA
Source: RNAcentral
GAUGAACGCUGACAGAAUGCUUAACACAUGCAAGUCAACUUGAACUUCGGUUUGGGUGGCGGACGGGUGAGUAACGCGUAAAGAACUUGCCUCACAGAUAGGGACAACAUUUGGAAACGAAUGCUAAUACCUGAUAUUAUGAUUAUAUGGCAUCGUAUAAUUAUGAAAGCUAUAUGCGCUGUGAGAGAGCUUUGCGUCCCAUUAGCUAGUUGGAGAGGUAACGGCUCACCAAGGCGAUGAUGGGUAGCCGGCCUGAGAGGGUGAUCGGCCACAAGGGGACUGAGACACGGCCCUUACUCCUACGGGAGGCAGCAGUGGGGAAUAUUGGACAAUGGACCAAGAGUCUGAUCCAGCAAUUCUGUGUGCACGAUGAAGUUUUUCGAAAUGUAAAGUGCUUUCAGUUGGGAAGAAAAAAAUGACGGUACCAACAGAAGAAGUGACGGCUAAAUACGUG